CCUACGGGGAGCAGCAGUGGGGAAUAUUGCACAAUGGGGGAAACCCUGAUGCAGCGACGCCGCGUGAGUGAAGAAGUAUUUCGGUAUGUAAAGCUCUAUCAGCAGGGAAGAAAAUGACGGUACCUGAUUAAGAAGCCCCGGCUAACUACGUGCCAGCAGCCGCGGUAAUACGUAGGGGGCAAGCGUUAUCCGGAUUUACUGGGUGGAAAGGGAGCGUAGACGGCAGCGCAAGUCUGACGUGAAAUGCCGGGGCUUAACCCCGGAACUGCUUGGGAAACUGGGCAGCUAGAGUGCAGGAGAGAUAAGUGGAAGUCCUAGUGUAGCGGUGAAAUGCGUAGAUAGUAGGAGGAACAACAGUGGCGAAGGCGGCUUACUGGACUGUAACUGACGUUGAGGCUCGACAGCGUGGGGAGCAAACAGGAUUAGAUACCCGAGUAGUC
This 440-nucleotide ribosomal RNA is filed under the name uncultured bacterium. RNAcentral describes it as "partial 16S ribosomal RNA". It matches the Rfam family "Bacterial small subunit ribosomal RNA", at positions 338 to 795 of the family's 1533-position model. The record is from RNAcentral.